Molecule: long non-coding RNA, 2674 nt
Organism: Anguilla rostrata (American eel)
Lineage: Eukaryota; Metazoa; Chordata; Actinopteri; Anguilliformes; Anguillidae
Exons: 2
Source: RefSeq, a predicted model, not a curated record
UUGCCACUACAAGCAACAAGCCUGAAGUCAACAACUAUAUCUAUAAUUGUGACUGAUCCAAUGCCUUAUGCAGCCAAAAGAUUUGAAGGGGUGCUAUAACACCACAGAGAUGACAGGACUGCAGCUUUCCUGUGAAAUAAAUAAUGCUGCUAUACCAUGCAAAUGUAGAUGUAAGAUUUUCCACAUGCUCGGCUUGUGUUUGGGUGGAGGAUGGCACAGAUUCUCACCGUCUCGCUGUGCUGUCUGUGGAAGAGUGGGACAAACUCCAAGGACUUGAUCUUGUGUAGAACCUGCUGAAAGUCCUCUUUCUGGAUGUCCUGAGGUAAGAUUCCGCAGAUCGGACUGUUCGCCCCCUCCAUAUUCUCUCUCUGGAAAGCGUGAGAAUGAUGUAGCUCAGGGGUGUCCAGUCUUAACCAAAAGGGGCCGAUGUGGGUAAAGGUUUUUGCUUUAGCUCAGCACUUUAACCCCAAAUGUGGUCUUCAAUCAAGACACCGAUAAGUAGUGUCAGGUGUAGUAGUGUUGGGCUAAAACAAAAAUAAGCACCCACUCCGGCCCUUUUCGAAUAAUAUUUUGACACCCCUGAUGUACAGUAGCUAAACAAGCCAAAAGUAGUUGGUAGUUCCUGUACUACACCUCAAAAUGGUAAAAAAAGAGUAAUUUACCACUGCAACCACUACACAGAUUUGAAUUUAGUUGAACGACCAGCAAACAGCUGCAAAAUAUCAAUUUUGUUAGUUAAAACUACUCCCCAACACUGCCAGGUACGUUGUCCUACAAGUUAUGGUUAUGAUGGACGGACUGCAUUGCAAUGGUAAACCUGUUGAAAUGGCUGUUGCUAAUUGCACCGACAUAGGUACAGUUACAAAAAUACAUGAGUAACAAGCUUGUUUAUGAAUGUUUCUGUGGUUUAGUUUAAAACCUCAUUUGAAUUUUCAGAAAAUAUGCACAUGCAGCAUCUUAGCCGCCCAGGGCCAGCCCUAGGAUUUUGGUGGCCCUAAACAGCGUUCGAACGGGGGGGGGGGCUGUUAUGAAAUGUUCUGUUGUCAUUCCAUUACAAAUUAAUACUGCUAGUUCCGCCAUAGGGGAUGAAUAACGUAAUUAUUUACCUUAGAUAAACAUUGGAUCGUGUGCGCACCCCCCCCUGUGGUCGUGUGGCCCGCCCUAGGUUGUGGCCCUAAACAACCGCAUAGAGUGUUUAUGCCACGGGCCGCCUCAGAAGUUUGUGUUGGAGGUGUUACAUUAAGAAAAGUGUACGACAGGUAAAGCACACAAAACAAAUAUGUGGCUUGUGUGGCUGUGCAAGAAUUUCACCAGACCUCCUGCAUCUCCUGGAUUUCAGACUGCAGAGAUGGGUUUUGAGGGGGGGUAGGGUGAUGUCCUGUGAGGGAACUCUGACGGCCAGCUGCACACCUGUCAAACCUGUCCAUAACAGACUGGACACAUGAGUCAUCCACAGGCUCAGAGCACUAGCUGGUGUCUUUGUGGUGAUGUCACAGACAACUAUUCUCAGGCUGCUCAAAACACAAAACAAAAACUGUUACCAGGGAAACAUCUAGACAUGAGAAGAAUAGGUCAGAAAAGGCAUGGGAGAGGCCUGCCCCGCAGACAAGCCUGCUCAGGUUUUGGCAUCAUACUUGCUUUCUAUUCUAUUGACUAACCAUCUGCCCUUGCCUCGUUACCUCAUUGUAUUUAUUUAUUUUUUGCAUCGUCUUUUGGAUUGUAUGUACUACAUCUUGUAUGUGACUGUUUUAUAACACUUUAUAUAUUGAUUGUUUAAUUGUAUAAGAAACAAAUAAACCCUAUUAUUAUUAUUAUAAUUAUAAUUAUUAUUAUUAUCAUCAUCACAUUCCAUGGGAGGGAGAUGCAGCAGUUUGCAACAUCCUUUUCCACAUGGAGCGAAUGAGACAGCGAAGCUACAUCAACACAAAAACAAAUAAACAGCUUCAGUGGCAUUUUCUUUCCCUUUGUCUUCUGUGCUUCUGACAAACAAAAAUUUCAAACUCGCUCACUCAGCACGUGCUCUCAGUCUCAGCCCCAUACUGUGGAGAGGAACACACCUUUAAGCACCUGGGCUGAGUAGUUACACAACCCAGGCGUGUGUGUUCUCUUCACCGGUAAGCGUGAGUAGCAGUAGUCUUCACUGACUGAACUGCAGUAAUGAUUUUUCACCUCUAGAUGGCAGAAAAUAUGGUUGAAGCCACUGAGCAGUACCAGUUAUGUCUGAAAGUAACCAAAUAAAGUGAAAAUAAAUUACAUUUGUUGGACGUCUACAAAUAUUCUAAGGUUAGGUCUUAUUACUAGGGCCACCAGUUUGUCUCCCCUUGUUUUCUCACAUGGCACUUCAGUCCUCCACCAGCUAGAGGUCGCGAUAGUCACUUGAGUGUGCUGUUAGAGUGCCCAUGGGGGCCCCUGGAGGAUAACCAUUGAAAUACAAUCCCUGCAGGUCACACGGUGGAGACGAACCGGUGCCACUACUACAUUAGUGGAUAUCAAUGGUUGGAAUGAGUAUGAUGUGCUUAAAUGUAUUCUCUUUACAUGUCAAUAGCUCAGGAUGGACAAUAUAUGGAGACCAUGAACUGUCUACCUCAGGAGUUCCUGUUGUGAAUUCUCCUGCAACCGCAUCAACUCCAGCUGCAUUCCCUUUCAAAAUAAAGACAGAGCAGCAGUAAAUCCA